Molecule: small nucleolar RNA, 120 nt
Organism: Rattus norvegicus (Norway rat)
Lineage: Eukaryota; Metazoa; Chordata; Mammalia; Rodentia; Muridae
Product: small nucleolar RNA SNORA17
Source: Ensembl
GAGGUCCCUGGAGGUGUUACAGGUAUCAGAUGUGCAUCAGUAGGGGACAAGGAGGGGAAAGCCUAUGUCAUGCUCAGUGUUUUGACCUGUAAAUAUCUGAAUGAUUAGUAGUCUAAAAUU